GGAGGGGCCUUGGCUCAGUAACUGGAGCUUCUGCUUUGCAUGCAGAAGGUCCCGGGUUCAAACCCUGACACCUCCA
This is a non-coding RNA of Podarcis lilfordi (Lilford's wall lizard), 76 nucleotides long. NCBI's taxonomy places the organism in Eukaryota, Metazoa, Chordata, Lepidosauria, Squamata, Lacertidae. The record is from the annotation of a GenBank genome assembly.